GACGAACGCUGGCGGCGUGCCUAAUACAUGCAAGUAGAACGCUGAAGGAGGAGCUUGCUUCUCCGGAUGAGUUGCGAACGGGUGAGUAACGCGUAGGUAACCUGCCUGGUAGCGGGGGAUAACUAUUGGAAACGAUAGCUAAUACCGCAUAAGAGUAGAUGUUGCAUGACAUUUGCUUAAAAGGUGCAAUUGCAUCACUACCAGAUGGACCUGCGUUGUAUUAGCUAGUUGGUGAGGUAACGGCUCACCAAGGCGACGAUACAUAGCCGACCUGAGAGGGUGAUCGGCCACACUGGGACUGAGACACGGCCCAGACUCCUACGGGAGGCAGCAGUAGGGAAUCUUCGGCAAUAGACGGAAGUCUGACCGAGCAACGCCGCGUGAGUGAAGAAGGUUUUCGGAUCGUAAAGCUCUGUUGUAAGAGAAGAACGAGUGUGAGAGUGGAAAGUUCACACUGUGACGGUAUCUUACCAGAAAGGGACGGCUAACUACGUG
This 495-nucleotide ribosomal RNA is filed under the name uncultured bacterium. Its description in RNAcentral is "partial 16S ribosomal RNA". It matches the Rfam family "Bacterial small subunit ribosomal RNA", at positions 28 to 507 of the family's 1533-position model. The record is from RNAcentral.